This 231-nucleotide unclassified non-coding RNA is filed under the name Hevea brasiliensis (rubber tree). The record is from RNAcentral. Lineage: Eukaryota; Viridiplantae; Streptophyta; Magnoliopsida; Malpighiales; Euphorbiaceae.
GAUCUCGCUGAAGUCAUCAAUGAAACAAACCUUCGAACAUUGGAAAUAAAGUCACUGGGAAAGAUGUUGCUGUUUCAGUAUCUUAUCCACGUUCUUGAAGGAGAUUUUGUACAUGCAACAAAGCUUAUGAAGAAACCAUGAACUGGAUGCUUGUAAGAGAGUCCUUGCCCAGUAUGCUUCUGGUAUAUUUCUACCUUAUAAGCCUUUCAUUGUGAUGGAUCUUUAAUUUAG